CGAUUCCCUACGGGGUGCAGCAGGCGCGAAAACUUUACAAUGCGGGAAACCGUGAUAAGGGGACACCGAGUGCCAGCAUCAUAUGCUGGCUGUCCGGGUGUGUAAAAUACACCCGUUAGCAAGGGCCGGGCAAGACCGGUGCCAGCCGCCGCGGUAACACCGGCGGCCCGAGUGGUGAUCGUGAUUAUUGGGUCUAAAGGGUCCGUAGCCGGUUUGGUCAGUCCUCCGGGAAAUCUGAUGGCUCAACCAUUAGGCUUUCGGGGGAUACUGCCAGGCUUGGAACCGGGAGAGGUAAGAGGUACUACAGGGGUAGGAGUGAAAUCUUGUAAUCCCUGUGGGACCACCUGUGGCGAAGGCGUCUUACCAGAACGGGUUCGACGGUGAGGGACGAAAGCUGGGGGCACGAACCGGAUUAGAUACCCGGGUAGUCCCAGCCGUAAACGAUGCUCGCUAGGUGUCAGGCAUGGCGCGACCGUGUCUGGUGCCGCAGGGAAGCCGUGAAGCGAGCCACCUGGGAAGUACGGCCGCAAGGCUGAAACUUAAAGGAAUUGGCGGGGGAGCACAACAACGGGUGGAGCCUGCGGUUUAAUUGGACUCAACGCCGGACAACUCACCGGGGACGACAGCAAAAUGUAGGCCAGGCUGAAGACCUUGCCUGAAUCGCUGAGA
RNAcentral lists this ribosomal RNA (669 nucleotides) under uncultured archaeon. Its description in RNAcentral is "bacterial SSU rRNA". It matches the Rfam family "Archaeal small subunit ribosomal RNA", at positions 316 to 985 of the family's 1478-position model. The record is from RNAcentral.